CAGCACUAGGGGUCCCCUGCCCACAUCAAAGAGAAGCAUCUAAGAGGGGUUACUGCCAUAAUGCCAUCCUUCUUGCUGCGCUUUGAGAAACAAACCAAAUCCCACCUCCCUUCAAAGAGCUCUAGUUGCUACGAAAACUAAUCCCACCCCCUACUAGAGUCCUGAGACUUAGAUGGCCCUGAGGCCAGUAGAAGGCUUUGGGGUAUCUCAAGAGCAGCCACACUUCUCCACCAAGGAAGUGUUCACAUAGUGCACACUCAUCUUGUGUUCGUCAUCCUGGACCAUCAGGGAGAAGAGUCUGACCCUGGUGGGAUGGCAGGUCUGGAAGAGCCGGGGACAGGCUGGCGUCAGCAACAUCAGUGGCUGGAAUCUUUGUCUCUGCCAAGAGGGUGGGCACCACCUCCAUCCAAUAUAUAAAUUAAUCUCCAAAUUCUCAGCAAGAGGAAAGGAGGCAGCUCCCAUUUAAUCCCCAGGCCUUCUCUAAAUGGCUUCAAGUGUAAAUGUGUUAAGUAAAAUCCUUCAUGAAUUUGUAAAUUGCUUUAAAUAAAACCCUUCAAUAAUAA
Macaca mulatta (Rhesus monkey) is the source of this 563-nucleotide non-coding RNA. The record is from RefSeq and is a predicted model, not a curated record. NCBI's taxonomy places the organism in Eukaryota, Metazoa, Chordata, Mammalia, Primates, Cercopithecidae.